UUCUGGCCGGCCUGAAUCGUUGCUCAACCUGUAUUUUAAUUUACGAGGUGAGCAAAGUUUCAGGUGUGUCAGCAU
This 75-nucleotide microRNA precursor is filed under the name Orchesella cincta. RNAcentral's name for it is "mir-87 microRNA precursor family". It matches the Rfam family "mir-87 microRNA precursor family". The record is from Rfam by way of RNAcentral. Lineage: Eukaryota; Metazoa; Arthropoda; Collembola; Entomobryomorpha; Orchesellidae.